GAAGACGCCUCCACCCUCUCUCCCGCCAGAAGUGACGUCAGUCACGUGGGAGGACAAUGGUGAGAAGAGGGAACCUAAGAAUUCCUGGACUCUGACUGGGCGUGAGAAAUGGCCGGAAGUAGCUUCGAGUCCGUCAUUCAAGCAGUAGAGGCUCUGGAGAAAAACUGGAGCGCAUCUGCUUAAAGGGCCGCCCAGGGUCAGGAUGGAGGGGCAAAGUCCGAGCAGGGGGUUUCCUCCCAUAUUGGAUCACGAUGAAAACUGCACAGAAAGUCCGUGCUCAGUUUCUUCCAUGGUUACAGAACACAGGCCCCAGACCAGGAAGGCAUUCUGCUAAAGAAGGGGACCCGAAACCUCAGCUACCAGCGCCGAUGGUUCAUCCUCCGAGGAAACCUCCUCUUCUACCUAGAACACUAGACCGACCAUGCACCCCUGAGCCUCAUCCUGUUAGAGAACUGCCAGGUGGAACCACACCUUAAGGCUGCAGAACCCUAUGCCUUUACCAUCCUGACCCCUGGGGUGGAGGGCACAGGUGGGCGGGCCUACAAGCUGGCUGCAGAAACCCAGGAAGAGCUGGAGACUUGGCUGUGGGCACUGGCUGGCGCGAGCUGGAGGCGGCUGGCUGGGCUGCUGUCCCCCCUCCCCCCCCACCAAAACCCAAUACUGGGAGCUGUGCCAGGCAACUGGCCAAGAACCCAUCUCAUCCCCAGAGGACAGUGGCUUUCUAGCCACUGUGAGUACCCCCUCCAGCUUCCAGGAGUUGCAUGAGCACUUUGGGAAGGAGAUCCGGGUGCUGCACGUGGUACAUAGAGAGCUCCAGGCAGCCAGUGACAAUGGAGACAGCAGAUCCCAGGCAAAGAUGGAGCAGGAGCUCAACCAGUGUCUGAUGAGUGACUGAGAGAUGGACCCAAAGCUAAGAGGUACCUACUUGCCAAGACAGCAGACUGCUUCAACAGAGACCCAGGUCCUGGCUCUGUCCCUCCCUCCCUCGUCCUUACCCCAUCCCCCCCUCAUCAAAUAACAAGGCAGAAAACAGGCCCAGGUA
This 1042-nucleotide long non-coding RNA is filed under the name Homo sapiens (human). RNAcentral's name for it is "HSALNT0385314". The record is from RNAcentral. Lineage: Eukaryota; Metazoa; Chordata; Mammalia; Primates; Hominidae.